CCGGGAGCUCGGCCUUGUGCGCGGCGCUCUGAGGACUUCCUAAAGCCAGUCCAGGAGCACAGUUUUUACCUGUUCAGUGGCACAUAUCUGUGAUUGAAACUCUGUUUUUGUAUGUUUAACCACUGAAGGAAGAAUGCAGCAGACUGCUGGACAAACACUGCGCCAAGAGCUCCUCAGCAGAUGCUCCUCGCAUCAGAUCCUCUGUGCUGGGAAUCCUCCCCUCUCGACCAUACUCUGUGCUCCUCUUCCAGUUACGGUGCAUGUGAAGCAAUGGUAUGGGAAAAUUGUUUGCAGAAGGAUGAAAAGGCUUUAUUCCCAAACUGUAAGGACAUGAUUUGAAAUGUUUAUGGUCAAGAGAAAAUAUUUCUACAGCAUCAUGUACAGCAUGGAGAUACAUUUGCACAUAUGCAUUAACAUGUAAGAACAUGUGCCUCAGACACAUGUGCCGUCCUGGGACAGCUCAUGCUGGACCCAUGCCUGCUUCCAAGCUUCCAUCAAGUCAGGGAGUGGAGCAAAGAGGGAAGGCAGCCCUUGCACUGUAGGGACCCUUAUGCACAGAGGCAUUGAGACUGCCUGUUCCUCUUGGAAGCUUCUCUCACGAGGCAGCUGGGUUUUUGGAGCUUCUCUGCUUCAUGUCUUGCUUCCCACCCUAGGGUUCCAGAUUCUGUUCUUCCCUAGUAUUGGCAAGGUUUUUUACAGAUAGCUCUUGGAUACAUUUGGAAGUAAUGUUUACAAAUGGUGAGAGAGAUGGCAUCUGACAUUUUUUUCUAAACACAUGCCAAUGUUUAUCCUUUCCCCACUAAUUUCAAUAAUUUGGCCUAACAUUUUUGUCACAUAUUCUGACUCUUUAUUCUGAUCCAUUCAUCUACUCUGGCAUCCCCACAUGGUUUUAAGUACUGGAGCUUUACUGUAUGUCUUGGUAUCAGGCCAAGCAAACCUUGUUAGUGAGAAAGCUUUAAAGCUUUCUCAGCAAUUGCUACACAUUUUUUUAUCCUGAUGAAUUUUAAAACUUACCAAUACCAGAACUGACAUCUUCACAGCAUUGUAUCCUGUCAACAACCUAGUCUGAACCUCAAUGGUUCAGGUUUCCUUUACACAUACAGGCCCUGAGAACUCAUAUGUUAAGGGUUUAUUGUUGUGAAUGAGAAUUUUUUUUUUUUAAACAUGUGGCUCUAUCUGAUCACCUUAUUGAACUGAGAAUGGUUCUAUGGACUUGACUGUUAUCUUGGACUGACAACUGUACUGUCUGGAAAUGACAGUUUCUCCUUCCUUUCAGUUUUUGUGCCUGUCUAUCCCACAUCCCUGUGCUGGUCAGGAUUUCCAGGACAAUAGUGAAUAGUAGUCGGGACAACAGGCUGGUUCUGAUUCCACUGUUCCUAACAUUCUACCAAGAAGCAUGUUUUUUUUCUAUUUUGGUAGUUUUAUGUUAGGUAGCCUUAUCAAGUUAGGACUUUUUUUUUUACCCAAGCUAAAGAAAGUACCCAAAAUAAAGAAAUUUUAUCAGGAACAGGUAUAAAUUAAGAAAUGUAUUUCAACACCUGCUAAAAUUACCACUUAUUUUUCUAUUAUGGCAACAAAUUACAUUAAUAGAUUUUCACUGUUACUGUUUAUCCUGGGAGAAAGCAUACUUGUGAACUUUUUUAGGUACUGUGCUUUGGAACCAGAUUUGGAAGUGAGAUGAAAUGUCAGCUGUACUCUCCUGGUUAGGUAUGAUUUCUGGGUCAGGUUUGCCUGAUAAAUGAAGUGAGAUGCUUGUAACUUUGCUCUAGAAUAGUUUCUACUGCAUGGGAAUGAUCUGUUCCUUGAGGAUUUGUCACAGUCUGCCCACAAUGGACUGGAUUUGGCAUGUAGGAUGUUAAUUCCUAUUUACUUUGCAAGAAAAAUACAGUUUAGCAAGCAACAGAAACAUACUGAACAUGAACCUCACCGUCCCUCUCUCAGCUGUAGCUCCUUCUGCGUCUGCAACCUGGCUUGUUCCCACGACAAAGGAACAUCAUAUUUUUUCAAAUGGUUUUUAAAAAAAUACACACAUAUCUGACCAUCUUCACUCAGCGCCUCUGAAAAAACAAUACAAAAACCGAUAAAGAGGCCAGCCUGGCCAACCCUGUCUCAAAAAAAAAAAA
This 2123-nucleotide non-coding RNA is filed under the name Pongo abelii (Sumatran orangutan). The record is from RNAcentral. Lineage: Eukaryota; Metazoa; Chordata; Mammalia; Primates; Hominidae.